This 497-nucleotide ribosomal RNA is filed under the name uncultured bacterium. RNAcentral's name for it is "partial 16S ribosomal RNA". The stretch from base 54 to 497 matches the Rfam family "Bacterial small subunit ribosomal RNA", at positions 35 to 507 of the family's 1533-position model. The record is from RNAcentral.
GGGGGGGGGGGGGGGGGGGGGGGGGGGGUGCGGGGGGGGGGGGGGGGUGAGGGGCUGGCGGCGGGGGCGGUCGCGGCGGGCGGGUGGGUGGCACGUGGGUACCCUACCUGUGCGGCUGGGAUACCUUCGGGAAACCGGAGCGAAUACCGGGGAAUCUCUUGACCCGCCGGGUUCCAUAGUGACAGACGGGUUUGCUGUCACUUAUCGAUGGAUCCGCGCCGCCUUAGCUAGUUGGUAAGGUAACGGCUUACCAAGGCACCGAUUCGUAGCCGACCUGAGAGGGUGAUCGGCCACACUGGAACUGAGACACGGUCCAGACUCCUACGGGAGGCAGCAGUAGGGAAUCUUCCGCAAUGGGCGAAAGCCUGACGGAGCAACGCCGCGUGAGUGAUGAAGGUCUUCGGAUCGUAAAACUCUGUUAUUAGGGAAGAACAAAUGUGUAAGUAACUAUGCACGCCUUGACGGUACCUAAUCAGAAAGCCACGGCUAACUACGUG